UACGGGGGGGGCAAGCGUUGUUCGGAAUUACUGGGCGUAAAGGGCUCGUAGGCGGCCAACUAAGUCAGACGUGAAAUCCCUCGGCUUAACCGGGGAACUGCGUCUGAUACUGGAUGGCUUGAGAUUGGGAGAGGGAUGCGGAAUUCCAGGUGUAGCGGUGAAAUGCGUAGAUAUCGAUCGGAACACCCGUGGCGAAGGCGGCUUGCUGGCUCGCAACUGACGCUGAGGCGCGAAAGCGUGGGGAGCAAACAGG
RNAcentral lists this ribosomal RNA (253 nucleotides) under uncultured prokaryote. RNAcentral's name for it is "partial 16S ribosomal RNA". It matches the Rfam family "Bacterial small subunit ribosomal RNA", at positions 524 to 776 of the family's 1533-position model. The record is from RNAcentral.